UGCGUAGGCGGCUCAGAAAGUAGGGUGUGAAAGCCCUCGGCUCAACCGAGGAACUGCGCCCUAAACUACUGGGCUUGAGGAACGCAGAGGUAAGCGGAACUUAGGGUGGAGCGGUGAAAUGCGUUGAUAUCCUAAGGAACACCAGGAGCGAAAGCGGCUUACUGGGCGUUUUCUGACGCUGAUGCACGAAAGCUAGGGGAGCGAACGGGAUUAGAUACCCCGGUAGUCCUAGCCGUAAACGAUGAGCACUGGAUUGGAGGCCCCCCCAUAGGCUUCUAGUCGUAGCGAAAGUGUUAAGUGCUCCGCCUGGGGAGUAUGGUCGCAAGGCUGAA
RNAcentral lists this ribosomal RNA (332 nucleotides) under uncultured bacterium. RNAcentral describes it as "bacterial SSU rRNA". It matches the Rfam family "Bacterial small subunit ribosomal RNA", at positions 568 to 898 of the family's 1533-position model. The record is from RNAcentral.